AGCUUCCUGGAUCUGUGUGGAGAUUUCAUCAGACACCAGACUAUCAGGAGUGAUGAGAUUCCUGAGAUAGGUUGCG
Molecule: non-coding RNA, 76 nt
Organism: Schistosoma mansoni
Lineage: Eukaryota; Metazoa; Platyhelminthes; Trematoda; Strigeidida; Schistosomatidae
Source: Rfam